Molecule: ribosomal RNA, 253 nt
Filed under: uncultured bacterium
Lineage: Bacteria
Description: partial 16S ribosomal RNA
Rfam family: Bacterial small subunit ribosomal RNA
Source: RNAcentral
CUUCGGGUUGUAAAGCUCUUUCGGCGGGGAAGAAAUGGCACGGGUUAAUACCCUGUGUCGAUGACGGUACCCGAAUAAGAAGCACCGGCUAACUACGUGCCAGCAGCCGCGGUAAUACGUAGGGUGCGAGCGUUAAUCGGAAUUACUGGGCGUAAAGCGUGCGCAGGCGGUUGGGUAAGUCAGAUGUGAAAUCCCCGGGCUCAACCUGGGAACUGCAUUUGAGACUGCCCGGCUGGAGUUUGGCAGAGGGAUU